This 253-nucleotide ribosomal RNA is filed under the name uncultured bacterium. Its description in RNAcentral is "partial 16S ribosomal RNA". It matches the Rfam family "Bacterial small subunit ribosomal RNA", at positions 524 to 776 of the family's 1533-position model. The record is from RNAcentral.
AACGUAGGAGACAAACGUUAUCCGGAGUUACUGGGCGCAAAGGGCGUGUAGGUGGUUUAGUAAGUCUGGCGUGAAAUUUUUCGGCUUAACCGGGAAAGGUCGUCGGAUACUGCAAGACUAGAGGACGGUAGAGGCGUGUGGAAUUCCGGGUGUAGUGGUGAAAUGCGUAGAGAUCCGGAGGAACACCGAUGGCGAAGGCAGGUCUCUGGGCCACUACUGACGCUGAGAAGCGAAAGCAUGGGGAGCGAACAGG